CCGUUCUUCUUUCAGGGCCCCACAAAAUCCAGUCAUUUGGAAGAAGUUGUUUCAGCGACCAACAUGUCAGCAAUUAUCACAUUAACAGGUGGGUCGGCUGGUGUCACCAUCUCACAUACAGGUCACAAGAUGUGCUGGGCUCCCCCUCCAUGAAUCCCAAGAAUCCCAUCAUGCCCUAGGAGUUUAAAAGCUCCAAUCCAGCUCGAACUCAACCUCACAUGACUCCAGUUCCCAUCACCAACUUGACUCCAGUCCCUUGUUGUUCAGUCCUGCUGUUUGCAUCCAGCGGUGUAGUUGUGACAGUGGCUUUCAAUGAGAAUCCAGUUGGCCUUCCCUCUCUUGUACCCCUCAUUAACGUUGGCCCCCAUGUCAAAGCCCUGGGCUGCAGAGGGGAAGGCUCUCAUGGUGUCUCUGCUGUACGGAGAGCCAGGUCUGAUCCCAGCCAUGAGGAGCCCACAGGCGGAGAGCCCUGUUUAAAAUUCCGCUCUGCAACGUGUCGGCUUUCCAAUCCACCGGGAUUACAUUAUUAAACUUACACAAGCUCAUUUCCAUACAAAGCAGGAUAUCAGCGGCAGAGAGUCAUGCAUAUUUAUCGCCGUGUGCCUGGCUUACGCACGAAUACACUCGCACAAUAACCCACAAGCAGGCAUAUCUUAGUCGUGGUACAUAAGUGAGGGAGGAAACCGAGGUGCAUUCCUAAUGGUUUGAGCAUGAGAGGUCCUGAGUGAGGAUGGUCAGUGAAAUCUACAUGUCAAUCACCUGACAAACCGACACAUAAAUAGGCAGUUUCUCACACACAAACAGGGGAGAUGAGAUGAGUUACAAUUUGAGAUCUGACGAGAAGUGUUUUACUGAUAAUCUACAUGCACAGUCAUGCACACACGGUCCAGCCAAGCCUCCACUUGUCCAUUUUGACUGUUCCCUGCUAGUAGCUAGUUCCCUUAAUGUCCUGACUCCCUAUUCUCAGUUCCAUUUCCCUGCCUGUGUCUCCCCCCGUUCCUGCUGUCCCACUGUUCUUCUCCUCCUGCACCGGUUUCUCCUCUCCUCCUUCUCCUCCCCCUCUUUUCUUCCUUGCCCUCCUUCAGGUGAUGUCCGUCCCUCCUCCUCCUCCUGUGAGAUUGCUGCUGUGUCUUAUGGCUUUUUAUUCCUACGUGAGGGUAGAUGUGUUCAUGUAGGGAUAGAAGCCACUAAACACACGGUGAGAGGUCAACGUGCAGGCCAGUAGAGCCAAGGCUUCCUUUUCCACACAGAGCAAAUACCCUGCGGUGAAGUUACAGUGGAGUUUACUGUCUAACUCUAGGUCUACAUGCAACCGUUAAGUGACUUCUUAAGAGAAAUUCCAAACACAUAGGCCUAAACAGAGUAGCAACUCUCAAAGACCCACCAACAAAGGCCCAGUACUAAAGGCUGUAACAAAGCCAAAGAAGGUCCUAAGAUAUAGUUCAAAACCAGUCUGUAAUUCACUGGUUAUCAAACAACCUUGUUCAAGAAAUCCUUAAGAAAAGGGAUGACAUUUCUCUGCUGACAAAUGGAUGGAAUACUUCAAGCUAAGGUAGGUCCACUACAUCCAUCUAAACUGAGGUGAGUUUCGUCCAGGUUCCCAACCCCAAAUAGGCUGAACAUUAGAAUCCUGAGAUGAAUCACUGUAAAGGGUGAAAUGUUAUUCUAUGUGCUUUAUAAUGAUGACAAAUAAAACCUACUUCUAGCUGCCAUCAUAGCUGAAGUGUAAUAAUUCAACACCCUCACUAAUGUACAUGAAUGUUCACACUAUAAAUCUACAUCACAACACAUGAUAGGAGCAUCAAUUAUUGACAGUGUUUUCUAUAGACCUCCAAGCUUUCAGGGAGAAUAUGUUGGAAUAGAUUACUGCCAAUGGAUUUGCUGCCUGAGGCUGUGUGUGCCUGUCUGUUUUCCUGAGUUGAGUUGAUGCAUUAAUAUGAAGUCUUUGUAUGUAUAUACAUGCAUCUCUGUCUUUUAAGAAUCUAUCUCCUGGCAGACUUAGAUUUUCCUGUAAUAAAUAAUGCUCUUUUGUGUUUUGUGUUGUUGCCGUUCUUCAUUUGUUUUCUUUCAUAUUUUCAAUGGUGAGACUUGAUGAAUAAAUUAUGCAUUCAGCUAA
Molecule: non-coding RNA, 2116 nt
Organism: Salmo salar (Atlantic salmon)
Lineage: Eukaryota; Metazoa; Chordata; Actinopteri; Salmoniformes; Salmonidae
Source: RefSeq, a predicted model, not a curated record